CGUAAGGCGCCGAAUGAGUCAUUAAAAAAUUAACAUCAUCCGAUCCCUAGUCGGCAUAGUUUAUGGUUAAGACUACGACGGUAUCUGAUCGUCUUCGAUCCCCUAACUUUCGUUCUUGAUUAAUGAAAACAUCCUUGGCAAAUGCUUUCGCAGUAGUUAGUCUUCAAUAAAUCCAAAGAAUUUCACCUCUGACAAUUGAAUACUAAUCGCCCCCAAUAUCCCUAUUAAUCAUUACGUCAAUCCUAAGAAACCAACAAAAUAGGAUCGAACGUCCUAUUUCAUUAUCCAUGCUAAUGUAUUCAAGC
RNAcentral lists this ribosomal RNA (305 nucleotides) under uncultured Glomus. RNAcentral's name for it is "partial 18S ribosomal RNA". Lineage: Eukaryota; Fungi; Glomeromycota; Glomeromycetes; Glomerales; Glomeraceae. The record is from RNAcentral.